GGAUGUCAGAACCAGUCCUCUAAACCUUUUCAAUUUUCCAAUAAGAAAAUAUGCUGUAGAACUGUGGUGUGAUAUUGGAUAUGAAACAAUUUUUUUGGGGUCUUUUUAAUGUCAAUAUAAUUUUUUUCAUUAAAUUUUAAUUCAUCUGUGUUGUAUACUGUGCAUAUUUUGUUUGCUAUUAAAUAAAAAAAUCUUUCCCGAUAAGGACAUCUUUUCUGAAAGCGCUUCUUAAAAUAGACUAGCUUGAUGCUGUGGAUAGUGCUUUGACAUUGAAGAAAACCAGUGAGAUGCAAAUAAAUUCUUGCAAGGCUGGAAUUGAUGCCUGUAUACUGUAGAAAUGGUUUGACUCACUAGUAGAUUUAUAGGCUGCACAGAGAGCUGGAUCUUUGAAAGAAGUCAGUGAAUUAAGGGCAGACUAUUACCCUGUAGCUCCCAUUAGCCUGCACAUUAACCAUCUAGAUCUACAGAUAUUUCUGUCCCAUACAAAUCACUGCAAUAAUGGGUAUAGGUUUUAUAUAAAGUCAUCAUGGCCAUAAAAUGGAAUAUAGGAACAUUUUACCACUACUGUAGUUAGACUGGCCAAAACUAACCACACAUUUGAAUACAGCUUUGUCAGGAUUUUACUCUUGAGGGCCCAUCUAUUCACAAAUCUGAGGUAGCUGAAUAUCAGAGAGUUAGGUUUCCUGGUAUGGUUUGGUUUGGGUUUUUUUCAGUAAUAAUUCAUAAAAUCAUUUAACUACUUUCAUACAAAAGUACAAUUUGACAAAUCUGAUAGAAAAUAUACCUGCUCUUGGCUGAGGGCAAAGGAAUGGCUAAGAGGACCUGUCAUCUCUGGUUGCAAGCUACUCUUCCUAUCCUUUCUCUUUCAAACAGUGAUGAGUUGUGGUGACAGACACAGUUAAAUAGAGCAGCCCCUUCCAAAGGGUUUAUAGUGUUCUGUGUGCAGCAAGAUCAUAGGAAAGGUCAGCAAGGCCACGAAGAUUCCACAUUGAAGAGUUUCAUCAUGGGGAAGAACCUUUGCCUGUGGCAUUUUGAAUUUCAGUUACUCUACAUGAGAUUCAUAAAACCAAAUGAAGCUUGCAAAGUAGUAGCUACUUUGGAGCUAAGCAUCUGGGCUUAUUCACAGUUAUUAGAAAUUGGUAUUUGAAGGACACAGUUAAUUUCAUCAAAAAGGUCUAAAAUGGGUCAAUGCAAUUGUGUUCUGGAACUACCCAUUUGUCUCUAUUGACUACAAAGACAAGACAGUGUGUUGGUACAAGUAUAAACAAUGGCAGUUUAAAAAUCUAAAGGUAAAUGAAAUUUAUUUCUGACUUUUCUCUCAUUUGCAUAUUGCCAUCCUUUUUCAUGUGAAAAGGAAUCAGUCGACUCAAAACAGAUUUACCAUAAUGCCUUUAGUUGAUUUUUGACCGUUCAAUAGCUAGUUAUAUCCACCUUAUGUCCUUUAGUACAAUAACUUGUCACAGACUUCAAAUUUUGGGUCAUACUUCUGCAUUAGUUUAGCACAUUGUUCAUUAAACUAAAAAAAUAAAACCAAAAAGCCAUGCUAACUUAUGAAUUUCCAGGGUAAUAGACUUUCUUCUACAGUCUUCAACAUUAAACAGUGACAAAAAUGGAAAAGAUGAAGAUUGCAAUAUCUUCCCUGAUUUUAUUUUAGAUGCAAUGAGGGAAAUUUCAGCCCCGUCCUGCCUGCCCAGCAAUGUAUGCACCUAAACAUAAAGAUAAAACUUGGUUGGUCACUUCACUUAACUUCAGUUUGCUAAAGUACUCCAAAGUUGCUAACAUGCUCCAUUUGGAAAGUGUGCUUUGAAAGGAUCCUGUAGUGUGGUUAUAAUAUCCAGCAGAAGCUAAAAAAUAGCACAAUUUUGCUGUACUUGUAUUUUUACAUCUUCUUACAGAUGUUGUGACUCCCCAUAAGGCUUUGCAGGAACAGGAGUGUUUUAUUCAUUGACAAGCCCAAAGCUACGGCUAAUGAACCCAGGCCAGCAAUGCAGCUGCCGUCAGCUGAGCUGGGAUAUUCGUGGAGAAGAUUUUUUUUUAAUGUGUGCAACAUCUCUUUGCUGAGUGUGUUCAGACUUGGCACAGUUAGAAAUAGCUAAUGUUCAGCUAUUUUCUGCUUUGAUAGGAGAUGCUUGUGUUCAGUGAGUUUUUUCUCCUACAUAUGACAGCUAUAUUCUCAGUUUCUUACAGAUUUCAUAAAAAUUAGCUAACCAGAGUUAUAAAAAUACACUGAAAUAAGUAAUAGUCAUUUAAAAACCUUGCCUACCAGUCUUCUUGUAGUGAUAUGGAUUAUUUAGAAUUGUCAGAUUAAAUAAGGCAAUGUAGCUCAAAAGAUGUAAAAGGCAAAUUGGAUGUAUAUAAAAUUAAUUCAAUUUCCAUUCAUUUCUUAGUGAGAAUUUUUAAAGGAGAAAGUUAUAAUUAUAGUCAUGUUUUGAGUAAACACAAUGAGACUGAUUUCUUGUUUAUAAACCAACACUCAUGUUUUGUUAUGCAUAUAUAACUAUACAGUUAAUUUUUUGUCUCAGAGAAGUGUGUUAUUUAGUACUUUUGUCAUACAUUUCUGUCAUUAUCCUGAACAAAAGCGUUGAAGAUAUUGUGGCCUAAAAAAAUUUUUAAAAGGCUAUCCAAACAAUCAGCUCACCCUCCAAAAAAAAAAAAAUUCCAAAAAUACUGAUGGAAGAAAUCUCUUUCUAUAUUGGAGCAAUAUUUGGGGUAAGUUAUUGGUGUUUUUUUCUGAGUAUUCAUUUUGCUAUGGGUAUGGUAAUUAUUUUUAUUGUGAAUGAACUCAGAAGUGUUCAGAUUAGCAAAUGAGUGCUUUUCUAAAUCUAAAUAAUAAUGAAAGAUCAAUAAGUGAUUCUAAAAUUACUUGUGACAGAUCUCAGCAAUAACAGAGGAAUAUAGUUUUCAAUUAAUUUGUGUACUUCAGCACAUUUAUGUCAAUGAGACUGAUUAUAUGUUAUGGCUGUGCAAAUAAUAGAUUUUUUAAUUUAGUUUCCAAAUUAAGCAAUAGAAACAAUUUUGUUCUGAAAAACAAGUGUUUUUCAGUUGGAGUUUUAUUUUUCCACUUUAGUUCUGAGAAUAAUGAAAAAUAAUCACUCAGUUUGAGACUAAAGUGUUUUGUGGCCUUGUAUAAACAUUUUUCUUGAAACACAGGUAAGAAAAAGCAAAUAAGAACAUGGACCAAAUCCAGAAAAAGCUGCUGGAGAAAGCCAAAUUUUUCUUUCUGUUUGAGGGUUAUAACAUCUAUUUGCACUGUGCACCUUAGAUUUAGUUUUCAGUUCAGCUUACAGGAAUUAAAUCCUAAACUUCUCUGUUCCUAAAUGCCAAGUUGUGAAUGGUUUUGAAAAGAGGAAAAUUCUACCAAAAUUAAGGCAUCCUCAUCUCUCUUCUCUGCAUUAUUGUCAGAAUAUAUAUAGCCCCAUGAGAAAUUCAUAAUUUAAACUAUGAAAUAAACUGUUUCAUAUUCCUACCCUUAGUCAGAAAGAGAACAAACCUGAGUUCAGGAAAGAACCAUAAUAGUUGGGAUGUGCAGCGUGUGAAGGCUGGGAAAUUUAUAGAUAGGAUAUUCACAUUUUGGGGAUACUGUAUUUUAUAUGAGACAUCACUGAGUCAUCACUGAGGGAGCAAUAGCUUGGUAAUAUGGGGUUCAGAAAACCUUUCCAGAACCACUGUAUUUAAAGAGCACCAAUAAAAUACAACAGAGUUAAAGCUAAAAAUGCUCUCCCAUCUCUGCUUUCUACCCUGAAGUUAAGAUGCUAACCCAUGAUCUGUGAGUAAGCUGGGAGCUGGCUCAUGUACUGCCAUGUUUUGUAUGAAUGUCAGGAGCAAUGGAUUAAACAGGCAUAAUGGUAGUCCUACACUUGUGUGUAUGUAAUGAAAUUAUGAAAAUUCUGGUAAUGAUUACAUUUGGCUUGUGCUCACAUCAUCUUGAAGGGACUGAAAAUGCAUUUUGUGGAAGAAUUUAUACUUUGUCAAAUUAUCAUCAUCACCAUCAUCUCUACUCAUGUCUCCUCAUUUGACAUCAGCCUUAGCUGCAGGCCUUCAAUGGAUGAAGACAGAGCAGAAAUAAAAGAUACAAUCGACCACACUUAGCACAAUAACGAUGUUUGAUAUGGAGUAUGUUUCAUUUUGCAUCAUGAUACUUAAUUACUGCAGUUACAGGAAAUAGGGGGAGAAAUAUUUCUACUUUGUCAAGUGCACGCAGUGUUGGACUUACAGAAUAAAUACAUUUGACUCUAAGAAUUGA
This 4243-nucleotide long non-coding RNA is filed under the name Taeniopygia guttata (zebra finch). RNAcentral describes it as "lncRNA (ENSTGUG00000029368.1)". The record is from RNAcentral. Lineage: Eukaryota; Metazoa; Chordata; Aves; Passeriformes; Estrildidae.